AGUCGUGCGAGAAAGUAUCUUCGGAUAUUAGUAGAGCGGCGGACGGGUGAGUAACGCGUAGGAACCUACCUAGUAGAAGGGGAUAGCCCGGGGAAACUCGGAUUAAUACCGUAUACCUCCUUAGGGAGAAAGAGGGCCUCUCUUGAAGCUCUCGCUAUUAGAUGAGCCUGCGUAAGAUUAGCUUGUUGGUAAGGUAAUGGCUUACCAAGGCUACGAUAUUUAGCUGGUCUGAGAGGACGAUCAGCCACAUUGGGACUGAGACACGGCCCAGACUCCUACGGGAGGCAGCAGUGGGGAAUAUUGGACAAUGGGCGCAAGCCUGAUCCAGCCAUACCGCGUGUGUGAAGAAGGCUCUAGGGUUGUAAAGCACUUUAAGCAGGGAGAAAAAGUUAUAAAUUAAUACUUUAUAACCGUGAUGUUACCUGCAGAAUAAGCACCGGCUAAUUCCGUGCCAGCAGCCGCGGUAAUACGGAAGGUGCAAGCGUUAAUCGGAAUUACUGGGCGUAAAGCGCGCGUAGGUGGUUUGUUAAGUUGGAUGUGAAAGCCCUGGGCUCAACCUAGGAACUGCAUCCAAAACUAACUCACUAGAGUACGAUAGAGGGAGGUAGAAUUCAUAGUGUAGCGGUGGAAUGCGUAGAUAUUAUGAAGAAUACCAGUGGCGAAGGCGGCCUCCUGGAUCUGUACUGACACUAAGGUGCGAAAGCGUGGGUAGCGAACAGGAUUAGAUACCCUGGUAGUCCACGCCGUAAACGAUGACAACUAGCUGUUGGAAGACAAUGUUUUUCAGUGGCGCAGCUAACGUUUUAAGUUGUCCGCCUGGGGGGGUACGGCCGCAAGGCUAAAACUCAAAUGAAUUGACGGGGACC
RNAcentral lists this ribosomal RNA (866 nucleotides) under uncultured marine bacterium. Its description in RNAcentral is "bacterial SSU rRNA". It matches the Rfam family "Bacterial small subunit ribosomal RNA", at positions 60 to 921 of the family's 1533-position model. The record is from RNAcentral.